CUGACCAGAAGCAGGGAGGAAGUGGAGUUCUUUUUUAAGUUUCUAGCCCUAGGGAAACAGUUCCUGUUCCCCUGUUUUGCUUCCUUGUGCCUGUUCCUCACGGUACGCCUGCCAUUCAGAAGAGGGCAUUUGCCAAAAUCUUCCCACAGGAGCACAUACCAUCUUGGUUCCUCAAAUAUUCAAGACUGUUCUGAUGCAAGUUGACAUUACCAAAAAGUGGGAGGUCCCCCUGGUGGAUUGGAGGAACUUCCACUAAGUUAUGUCACAUAGAAAGAAGGUGUUCUACUCUAAGCCUGUAGUACAUCCUGUGGAAGAGUCACACCUUCCAUGUGGACCACUCUGUGACAACCUGGGGGCCAGCCGCAACUCCACCAGUCAACUGUUGUGUCUUCUAGAAGAAUCUAUGGCCAUAACUUAGUCCUAAAAUCUGAACCAGUCUCCCAACUUCUCCCUUUAAUAGUUUUGUCAUUUGUGGGUGAUCCUUGCCGGCUCCUCAGCCCCCACUAUUGUGAAAAACAACUGCUCCUCUGGUAAACCUACUUUAGCAAUUUUCUGUUUCUUUUUUCUAAAACAAUUUAUGCCCCAUAAUUUUCUUUAUGGCCAGGCCCACAAUGGAAGGUAUUCCUUUGCUUAUUCCCCACUUGGACUGCCUAUACUUCUUUGCCAAAUGACUUUAGUCACAUUUUUCCCUUUAUGUGGAAUAAUCUUUUCUACUCCAUGUGCCCACUGGGGACAAUAUCCCAGGUCAAAUGAUCCUUCCAUGAAAGCUUCUUGUAUUCUCCACAAACAACAAGUAUCUUCUCCGUUUAUUUUGUGCUUUACCCUUUUAAUUUUGCAUGCUUAUUAAUUAGGUACAGUUUAAAAAUGCAGACACCAUCAGAUCUGUAAAGUUUAGGAAUCUUGUCUCAUUACCAGG
This is a long non-coding RNA of Nannospalax galili (Upper Galilee mountains blind mole rat), 916 nucleotides long. RefSeq lists it as uncharacterized. Lineage: Eukaryota; Metazoa; Chordata; Mammalia; Rodentia; Spalacidae. The record is from RefSeq and is a predicted model, not a curated record. The transcript has 3 exons.